GAUGAACGCUGGCGGCGUGCCUAAUACAUGCAAGUCGAGCGAACAGACGAGGAGCUUGCUCCUCUGACGUUAGCGGCGGACGGGUGAGUAACACGUGGAUAACCUACCUAUCAGACUGGGAUAACUUCGGGAAACCGGAGCUAAUACCGGAUAAUAUAUUGAACCGCAUGGUUCAAUAGUGAAAGACGGUUUUGCUGUCACUUCUAGAUGGAUCCGCGCCGCAUUAGCUAGUUGGUAAGGUAACGGCUUACCAAGGCGACGAUGCGUAGCCGACCUGAGAGGGUGAUCGGCCACACUGGAACUGAGACACGGUCCAGACUCCUACGGGAGGCAGCAGUAGGGAAUCUUACGCAAUGGGCGAGAGCCUGACGGAGCAACGCCGCGUGAGUGAUGAAGGUCUUCGGAGCGUAAAACUCGGUUAUUAGGGAAGAACAAAUGUGUAAGUAACUAUGCACGUCGUGACGGUACCUAAUCAGAAAGCCACGGCUAACUACGUG
RNAcentral lists this ribosomal RNA (497 nucleotides) under uncultured bacterium. RNAcentral describes it as "partial 16S ribosomal RNA". It matches the Rfam family "Bacterial small subunit ribosomal RNA", at positions 28 to 507 of the family's 1533-position model. The record is from RNAcentral.